GUUGUAGCUCAGUGGUAAAGCGCUUGCCUAGCAUGUGUGAGGCCCUGGGUUUCAUCCCGAGUACAACA
Molecule: transfer RNA, 68 nt
Filed under: Marmota monax (woodchuck)
Lineage: Eukaryota; Metazoa; Chordata; Mammalia; Rodentia; Sciuridae
Description: tRNA.Ala
Source: RNAcentral